This 430-nucleotide ribosomal RNA is filed under the name uncultured bacterium. RNAcentral describes it as "bacterial SSU rRNA". It matches the Rfam family "Bacterial small subunit ribosomal RNA", at positions 189 to 600 of the family's 1533-position model. The record is from RNAcentral.
GUGACCGCGAGGUCAAAGUUGGGGAUCGUAAGACCUGACGCUUUAAGAUGAGGCUGCGGCCUAUCAGGUAGUUGGCGGGGUAAUGGCCCACCAAGCCUAAGACGGGUAGCUGGUCUGAGAGGACGACCAGCCACACUGGAACUGAGACACGGUCCAGACACCUACGGGUGGCAGCAGUCGAGGAUUUUUCUCAAUGGGGGAAACCCUGAAGGAGCGACGCCGCGUGAGGGAUGAAGGUCUUCGGAUUGUAAACCUCCGUCAUCUGGGAACAAAGCGCUCCACCUAACACGUGGAUUGUUGAUAGUACCGGAAGAGGAAGCAGUGGCUAACUCUGUGCCAGCAGCCGCGGUAAUACAGAGACUGCAAGCGUUGUUCGGAUUCAUUGGGCGUAAAGGGUGCGCAGGCGGUCCCGGUAAGUUGGAUGUAAAAU